AUUGAACGCUGGCGGCGUGCUUAACACAUGCAAGUCGAGCGGUAACAGGUGUAGCAAUACAUGCUGACGAGCGGCGAACGGGUGAGUAAUGCUUCGGAAUCUUCCUCGUAGUGGGGAAUAACCUGGGGAAACUCAGGCUAAUACCGCAUACGAACUACGGUUGAAAGCAGGGGAUCGCAAGACCUUGCGCUAUGAGAUGAGCCGAAGUCGGAUUAGCUAGUUGGUGAGGUAAAGGCUCACCAAGGCGACGAUCCGUAGCGGGUCUGAGAGGAUGAUCCGCCACACUGGGACUGAGACACGGCCCAGACUCCUACGGGAGGCAGCAGUGGGGAAUUUUGGACAAUGGGCGAAAGCCUGAUCCAGCCAUGCCGCGUGUCUGAAGAAGGCCU
RNAcentral lists this ribosomal RNA (389 nucleotides) under uncultured bacterium. RNAcentral's name for it is "bacterial SSU rRNA". It matches the Rfam family "Bacterial small subunit ribosomal RNA", at positions 30 to 417 of the family's 1533-position model. The record is from RNAcentral.